Molecule: long non-coding RNA, 210 nt
Filed under: Elaeis guineensis (African oil palm)
Lineage: Eukaryota; Viridiplantae; Streptophyta; Magnoliopsida; Arecales; Arecaceae
Description: long non-coding RNA (EGUI_LNC044440)
Source: RNAcentral
CAGGCAUCAAGUUCAAGAUCAAGAUAAGUGAAAUAUAAUCAGCCUCAUCCUCGAUUGAAGCGUUUGAUCUGAGAGGAAGAUGUCAGAGGAUGGAAUGCAAUAAACUAGACAAAGGUUGGCUCACUGGAUGCGGAGGGCUUGGAUUGAAGCUAAGUCCUAAUAGCAUCUAGCUGGAACAAGACCCCCCUCACUGAAACUCGAAGCCCAUCA